CCUACGGGAGGCAGCAGUAGGGAAUAUUGCGCAAUGGACGAAAGUCUGACGCAGCCACGCCGCGUGAGUGAGGAAGGCCUUCGGGUUGUAAAGCUCUGUCAGCUGGGAAAAACAGGCAAGAGGGGAAAGUUCUCUUGCUUUGAUGGUACCAGCGAAGGAAGCACCGGCAAACUCUGUGCCAGCAGCCGCGGUAAUACAGAGGGUGCAAGCGUUGUUCGGAAUUACUGGGCGUAAAGCGUGCGUAGUCGGUAUUGAGAGUCGCGGGUGAAAUCCCAGGGCUUAACCCUGGAACUGCCUGCGAGACCUCAGUACUAGAGUGUGAGAGGGGAUAGUGGAAUACCCAGUGUAGCGGUGAAAUGCGUAGAGAUUGGGUGGAACACCGGUGGCGAAGGCGGCGUAUCUGGCUCACAACUGACGAUCAGGCACGAAAGCAUGGGGAGCAAACAGGAUUAGAUACCCUGGUAGUCCAUGCCGUAAACUAUGCAUACAAGCUGUAGUGGGGUUUUUCUCCUGCUGUGCGAAGCUAACGCAAUUAGUAUGCCGCCUGGGGAGUACGGUCGCGAAGACUAAAACUCAAAGGAAUUGACGG
RNAcentral lists this ribosomal RNA (589 nucleotides) under uncultured bacterium. Its description in RNAcentral is "bacterial SSU rRNA". It matches the Rfam family "Bacterial small subunit ribosomal RNA", at positions 338 to 916 of the family's 1533-position model. The record is from RNAcentral.